GCAGGAGCAUCACUUGAGCCCAAGAAUUUGAGGGUACAGUGAGCUAUGACGGCACCACUGCACUGCAGCCUGGGCAACACAGCAAGACCCUGCCUCUAAAAAGAAAAAAGAAAAGAAAAAAUCCUGAAGCAGUUAUGUUGAAAAAACCAAGCACUGAAUUGUCCUAGUUUAAAGGCAUUGAAAAAUACAGAAUCCCUGUCCUCCCAUAGAAGCUCACAGUCUACUGAGGGAGAAACAGAUAAAGAUGCAAUUAUAAUCCAAGGUGAAGAGUGCAAAGGCAGAGGCACACAGAGGGUGCCAGGGAGCUCCAGGAAAGUCCCAACCCCUGCCAGACACAGACAUUCACAUUAGCAAGAAACCUGAAGAUCAAAAAUCAAAAAACCCUUUCAGAACCAAGUGGAUUGGAUACCAACUUCUAGCAAAAUUCCAAGAAUUGUGGACAGCCUGGUCCCAGCAGGAUUGGUGAGAGCUCAUGUGUGCACCAGAGUCAGAGUACACCCUGUGUCCUCCCUCCCCAAACGGGGGAGUGGUUGCUAAUGACAAUGACCAACCUUACUGGAAGAUGCUGU
This is a long non-coding RNA of Rhinopithecus roxellana (golden snub-nosed monkey), 569 nucleotides long. RefSeq lists it as uncharacterized. NCBI's taxonomy places the organism in Eukaryota, Metazoa, Chordata, Mammalia, Primates, Cercopithecidae. The transcript has 4 exons. The record is from RefSeq and is a predicted model, not a curated record.